RNAcentral lists this ribosomal RNA (460 nucleotides) under uncultured Prevotella sp. Its description in RNAcentral is "bacterial SSU rRNA". It matches the Rfam family "Bacterial small subunit ribosomal RNA", at positions 338 to 795 of the family's 1533-position model. Lineage: Bacteria; Pseudomonadati; Bacteroidota; Bacteroidia; Bacteroidales; Prevotellaceae. The record is from RNAcentral.
CCUACGGGAGGCAGCAGUGAGGAAUAUUGGUCAAUGGGCGUAAGCCUGAACCAGCCAAGUAGCGUGCAGGACGACGGCCCUAUGGGUUGUAAACUGCUUUUUAAGGGGAAUAAAGAGUGGCACGUGUGCCCUGUUGCAUGUACCCUUAGAAUAAGGACCGGCUAAUUCCGUGCCAGCAGCCGCGGUAAUACGGAAGGUCCGGGUGUUAUCCGGAUUUAUUGGGGUUAAAGGGAGCGUAGGCCGCAGGUUAAGUGUGUUGUGAAAAGCAGUCGCCCAACGUCUGCCUUGCAGCGCAAACUGUCCUGCUUGAGUGCGCACAACGCAGGCGGAAUUCGUCGUGUAGCGGUGAAAUGCUUAGAUAUGACGAAGAACUCCGAUUGCGAAGGCAGCUUGCGGGAGCGCAACUGACGCUGAAGCUCGAAAGUGCGGGUAUCGAACAGGAUUAGAUACCCCUGUAGUC